CCUACGGGUGGCAGCAGUGGGGAAUAUUGCACAAUGGGCGAAAGCCUGAUGCAGCAACGCCGCGUGAGCGAUGAAGGCCUUCGGGUCGUAAAGCUCUGUCCUCAAGGAGGAUAAUGACGGUGCUUAAGGAGGAAGCCCCGGCUAACUCCGUGCCAGCAGCCGCGGUAAUACGUAGGGGCAUAGCGUUAUCCGGAAUUACUGGGCGUAAAGGGUGCGUAGGUGGUUGCUUAGGUCAGAGGUGAAAGGCUACGGCUCAACCGUAGUAAGCCUUUGAAACUGGGAAACUUGAGUGUAGGAGAGGAGAGUGGAAUUCCUAGUGUAGCGGUGAAAUGCGUAGAGAUUAGGAGGAACACCAGUUGCGAAGGCGGCUCUCUGGACUGUAACUGACACUGAGGCACGAAAGCGUGGGGAGCAAACAGGAUUAGAUACCCUUGUAGUC
This 439-nucleotide ribosomal RNA is filed under the name uncultured bacterium. Its description in RNAcentral is "partial 16S ribosomal RNA". It matches the Rfam family "Bacterial small subunit ribosomal RNA", at positions 338 to 795 of the family's 1533-position model. The record is from RNAcentral.